AAUGGGGGAUAACGUAGCGAAAGUUACGCUAAUACCGCAUAUGCCCUGAGGGGGAAAGGUGGGGAUCGCAAGACCUAUCGUUUUCGGAGUGGCCGAUAUCAGAUUAGCUAGUUGGUGGGGUAAAGGCCCACCAAGGCGACGAUCUGUAGCGGGUCUGAGAGGAUGAUCCGCCACACUGGGACUGAGACACGGCCCAGACUCCUACGGGAGGCAGCAGUGGGGAAUUUUGGACAAUGGGGGCAACCCUGAUCCAGCCAUGCCGCGUGAGUGAAGAAGGCCUUCGGGUUGUAAAGCUCUUUCAGCCGGAAAGAAAUCGCGCAGGCUAAUAUCCUGCGUGGAUGACGGUACCGGAAGAAGAAGCACCGGCUAACUACGUGCCAGCAGCCGCGGUAAUACGUAGGGUGCGAGCGUUAAUCGGAAUUACUGGGCGUAAAGCGUGCACAGGCGGUUUUGUAAGACAGGCGUGAAAUCCCCGGGCUUAACCUGGGAACUGCGUUUGUGACUGCAAGGCUAGAGUGUGGCAGAGGGGGGUAGAAUUCCG
RNAcentral lists this ribosomal RNA (541 nucleotides) under uncultured Gallionellaceae bacterium. RNAcentral describes it as "bacterial SSU rRNA". It matches the Rfam family "Bacterial small subunit ribosomal RNA", at positions 135 to 671 of the family's 1533-position model. Lineage: Bacteria; Pseudomonadati; Pseudomonadota; Betaproteobacteria; Nitrosomonadales; Gallionellaceae. The record is from RNAcentral.